ACUCCGGUGCCUCCGGGUCUGGGCUGGGCCGCAAAGGGCGGGGCCUGGGCCCGGCGCGGGCCGGGAGCAGAGGCCGAGACCCUGCAGGUGAUUCCUGGGGCUGCCAGCUAAGGUCCCUUAUGAUUUCUGCUCUGGCUUUGCAGUUUUCAGCCUUUCCCAAGAGCAGCAGAAAAUGAACAAGUUCCAGGGACCCGUGACAUUAAAGGAUGUUAUUGUGGAAUUCACCAAGGAGGAAUGGAAGUUACUGACCCCUGCUCAGAGGACUCUGUAUAAAGAUGUGAUGCUGGAAAACUAUAGUCACCUGGUCUCAGUGGGUUACCAUGUGAAUAAGCCAAAUGCAGUCUUCAAGUUGAAGCAAGGAAAAGAGCCAUGGAUAUUAGAAGUAGAAUUUCCACAUCGGGGCUUCCCUGAAGACCUAUGGAGCAUUCAUGAUCUAGAAGCAAGAUACCAGGAAAGCCAAGCUGGAAAUUCAAGUGUAGGUCAGAGAAUGCUCACAGUGGAGAAACCCUAUGGAUCCAGUAAAUAUGGGAACAUCUCUAGAAAUCAGUCCUCAGAGGAAUGGAGAACUCACAAAACAUCAGAAAACUCGUACCACAGAGAAAGCCUGUGAAUGUAAGGAAUGUGGGAAGUUCUUCUGCCAGAAGUCUGCCCUCAUAGUACAUCAGCAUACUCACUCAAAGGGCAAAUCC
This 689-nucleotide small RNA is filed under the name Pan troglodytes (chimpanzee). Its description in RNAcentral is "processed transcript". Lineage: Eukaryota; Metazoa; Chordata; Mammalia; Primates; Hominidae. The record is from RNAcentral.